CAGCAGCCGCGGUAAUACCGGCGGCCCGAGUGGCGGUCACUAUUAUUGGGCUUAAAGCGUCCGUAGCCGGGUUGGGAAGUCCUCCGGGAAAUCUGGCCGCUUAACGGUCAGAAUUCCGGGAGAUACUCCCAGCCUAGGGAGCGGGAGAGGCCGAGGGUAUUCCCGGAGUAGGGGGGAAAUCCUAUAAUCCCGGGAGGACCACCUGUGGCGAAGGCGCUCGGCUGGAACGCGUCCGACGGUGAGGGACGAAGGCCAGGGGAGCAAACCGGAUUAGAUACCCGGGUAGUCCUGGCUGUAAACGAUGCGGACUUUGUGUCGGACAAGCUAUGAGCUUGUCCGGUGCCGGAGGGAAACCGUUAAGUCCGCCGCCUGGGGAGUACGGCCGCAAGGCUGAAACUUAAAGGAAUUGGCGGG
This 414-nucleotide ribosomal RNA is filed under the name uncultured microorganism. RNAcentral describes it as "bacterial SSU rRNA". It matches the Rfam family "Archaeal small subunit ribosomal RNA", at positions 459 to 872 of the family's 1478-position model. The record is from RNAcentral.